This is a long non-coding RNA of Heterocephalus glaber (naked mole-rat), 1319 nucleotides long. The record is from Ensembl. Lineage: Eukaryota; Metazoa; Chordata; Mammalia; Rodentia; Bathyergidae.
CUUUGCUCCUGAUGACUUCAUGGGCUGGAAAAAUCUGAUUUGGGUCUUUAAAUCCCAGGGUCUCCAGUCCGCUGAAAUCUCCCCAGCCCCCCAGCUCUCUGCUUCUGCAGUCUCUGCCCCAGGCUGAGGGCAUCCGGGCGGCCCUGGCUACACCAAGGCCCCGUCUCAGCUCUGCAGUGAGCGCCUGACGGAGGAGCUGAGUGGUGGUGGGGCCCGGGCCCGUGGGGGACGAGGAGGUCAGAGGAGCAAAAGGGACAAAUAGAACAAGGGAGAGAAGCAACUUUGAUGCCCCUCCCCACCCGCCCCGGAGGAGGAGGUCCCAGAGAACAGGCCGCCCACCUCGAGGGCUGACCACCCUCGUCUUUCACACUGCUACGGUGCUCGUUGUUCGGAUCCGUGAGUCGACCAGAACCCCAGCAUCACUACCACACUGCAAUUUGCUUCUGCCUCAAUGAUGAACAGAUUAGCACAGCGCACCAUCGAGCCACAGCCAGGAAGUGGCCUGAAACCUCAUGCAGGACCUGAGCAACCCAAGCAGGGUCCCGCCGUCCCUCACUUCCGGAUGACACAGAGGGAGAUGAAGUUGAAGCAGACAGCCCACGAGCCUGUGGUCAUGUCAUCCUCAGGCUCCCAGACGACUACGCUGCAGAGCUGGAUUCCCUGGAAACCCAAGGCCAUCUACCCUACUGUCUUUUUGCUGCACCCUGUGGGGCAUUUUCCACGUUCGUCAGACUUCUCGACAAACUCAUUCCUUUCCGGCUUUCACAAGUGGAGCUGCCCGACCCUCUUCCUCAAGGGAAAAAGCACACUUUCCCUGGGUGUACCUAGAAGGUGAAUGUACCACAUUCCUAGAUCAUCACUAAAUGCCGAAAAACAGAUGAGCUUAAAGGAAAAAGUUGUGAUUUUACAACACAACCCAAACUGAGAGUGGAAAGACAGGUCUGAAAAAGGAAGGGGUACAUACACCAUUAUGUGUUCACAAUAAACAACAUUGAAAGGAAGUAUUUAUUGAGAGAAAGAUAGCUCUGUCUAAAAGAAACAGAAGGAGUCCUGGAGAGAGGGUUGUCAGCAGAUCUCACUUCUCAAGGGAGUUUAUAGAGCAAAACCACGAGCACUAUAGAUCACUAUGGCCAGGCCUAACUUGCCUCCUCCCACGGAUGAGGCAGGGACUUGUGGGAGGAGAACAGGUGACAAGAGGGCAUGGUGGAGCAAGGCCUGGCUGAGAAGAGGACUGUUUUCCUGCCCAUUCAUCAGAAAACCAUCAAGCAUGAUGUCCUGCAGAUCUUAGGUACUCUCCUGGCUCUAGUUACAGACCAGCC